This 483-nucleotide ribosomal RNA is filed under the name uncultured bacterium. Its description in RNAcentral is "bacterial SSU rRNA". It matches the Rfam family "Bacterial small subunit ribosomal RNA", at positions 29 to 498 of the family's 1533-position model. The record is from RNAcentral.
AGUGAACGCUGGCGGCAGGCCUAAUACAUGCAAGUCGAACGGCAGCACAGUGGAGCUUGCUCCAUGGGUGGCGAGUGGCGGACGGGUGAGGAAUACAUGGGAAUCUGCCCAGUCGUGGGGGAUAACGUAUGGAAACGUACGCUAAUACCGCAUGCGCCCUUCGGGGGAAAGUCGGGGACCGCAAGGCCUGACGCGAUUGGAUGAGCCCAUGUUCGAUUAGCUAGUUGGCGGGUAACGGCCCACCAAGGCGACGAUCGAUAGCUGGUCUGAGAGGAUGAUCAGCCACACUGGAACUGAGACACGGUCCAGACUCCUACGGGAGGCAGCAGUAGGGAAUAUUGGACAAUGGGCGCAAGCCUGAUCCAGCCAUGCCGCGUGAGUGAAAGAAGGCCCUCGGGGUUGUAAAAGCUCUUUUGGUCGGGAAGAAAGCGCCUUGCCUAAUACGCGAGGUGGUUGACGGUACCGGCAGAAUAAGCACCGGCU